Molecule: long non-coding RNA, 1383 nt
Organism: Gasterosteus aculeatus aculeatus (three-spined stickleback)
Lineage: Eukaryota; Metazoa; Chordata; Actinopteri; Perciformes; Gasterosteidae
Source: Ensembl
UGUGUGUGUGUGUGUGUGUGUGUGUGUGUGUGUGUGUGCGUGUGCGUGUGCCGCUCUGGUUUUUGAUCUGAGUGCCGGCGUUUAUUUCACAUGCAAAUGAUUCAAAGUGCGUCUCCGUCUCCUCGUGCAGCUGCAGCAGAGAGAGGCCUUUUUAUCUCGCCGUCACCGAACCCUUUGGCCUCUCGGACUCUGAAAGCGAGUCGGUUCCAACGAACCCGGCGAGGACGCCGUCCCGCUCGCGCCGUCUUUUUUUCUUUUUUUUUGUGGCGUUCCACCUGAGCGGAGGUCGCUGGAGGACGUUCCCGGGUUUUUGACCGCGUUCCUUCCGUCUGUUCCGCGCAUUCGUGGAACAUCUCCUUUAGUCUGCAGGGACGACAUUCUCUUGCCGGGCCGCGGCGGGCCGAACGCUGGCUGCUGAUUGGCUGAGCCCCGCGACGCUGGUCUCUUGUUAUCUUGGUCGGAUUUGUGGCCUCUUCCGCUUCCCUCCCUCGUCCUCUAUGAAAAAGACCGUUUGUCUCCUGGCUCUUCCGUCUUAUCUGGAGUUCUUUUAACAAAAGACUGUCGAGUGAAAUUAAAGCUUCAUGUGUUAAAGCUGCAUUCUCUGUACUGACCAGCAGGGGGCGACUCCAUAAGGUGCCAUAGAAGUCUAUGAGAAAACAUGUCUACUUCUCUCUUUAUUUAUUCCCUCAGUAAACAUUGCUAAUAUGAGGUUGUGGUCCCAAUACACCAUUAGUAUGAGGUCAAAAAAGGAAAAAAGGUAGAAAAAUAUUUCUAAAUAUAUUGUAUCGAAAAAUGUCAUGCAAAGAAAACAACAAAAUAUAAAAAAACGCUUUGAAAAAGUCAGUUAUUUCGAAAAAAUAUUAAAAAAAAAAUUAGGGUAAUAAAAGCCAAAAAAUAUUUCCGGUCCAAAAAUGUUUUGAAUAAAAAGUCAAAAUAUGUUAUUUCGAAAAAGUAUCAUGGAAAAUAUAUCAUCAAAAGAUAUUUUUCCAGUCAAAAAAUGUCAUUUAAAAAAAAGUUUAAAAACAAUUCUUGAUAAAAAAACAAAAUGUAUUUGUUUGAGAAAGUUGGGUAAAAAGUGUCCAAAAAUAUUAGUCCGAAAAAUAUUAUGGAAAAAAGUAAGAAAUAUACGUAGGUUCAUGCAGAAGAAGAAGAUUAAAAUUGUUCGCGUGUUGAACAAUGUUUUCACAACCUGACCUAAUAACUCUUAAAUUAAGAUAACUCUGAAUGAACUAACCCUUUUAUGGCUCACGGUACAAACGAAGGCGAAAUGGAAGGAAACUGGGUGCUUUGAUGCCAUAACAUCUGAAAUAAUAUCCUCCACGCGACUUUGGCUCCUCUGCUGUCUCGCUGGUGAAAUGUAAUUGGAUUAGUUUUGACUUGAAA